This 431-nucleotide long non-coding RNA is filed under the name Coffea arabica (coffee). RNAcentral's name for it is "long non-coding RNA (CARA_LNC004769)". The record is from RNAcentral. Lineage: Eukaryota; Viridiplantae; Streptophyta; Magnoliopsida; Gentianales; Rubiaceae.
AGACUUCUAUUGCGAUAAUUUUUUCAUGUUGUAGAAAAACCAAUUUUGUAAAUGGAUCCCAGAUGCUUCUCCUUAUUAAUGCAUGAGAUUUAGUCAAAUCAUAUUGGUAGAAUAACUGAUGGACCUUCCCAUUCUUUUAUCUGUGCAAUUUCUUUGUCUCAUGAGUGAGCCAGGAGAACUGGAGAAAUUAAAUGAUGGGUUUUUAUUUAAUUAGUAGUAAAAAUAUGGAGUACCCAAUUCCAUGCCAUCUUGCUUAAAAAAUCUGUUUCCAAGAACAAGAAUCAUUUAAUCCCCAUGGCAAUACUAAUUAUUCUGUUUUAAGUCUGUCAAAGAAAGUAUGAAAUCCAAUGAAAAAGAUGAAAACUGUGUCAAACGCUUGCACUAAGAAUUACUCGUUGCUACAUAGAGGAGCUUCCUACAUGCAUGUGAGG